GUGAGGAAUAUUGGUCAAUGGGCGGAAGCCUGAACCAGCCAAGUCGCGUGAAGGAAGAAGGAUCUAUGGUUUGUAAACUUCUUUUGAAGGGGGAUAAAGUGCGUCACGAGUGGUGCAUUGCAGGUACCCUUGGAAUAAGCAUCGGCUAACUCCGUGCCAGCAGCCGCGGUAAUACGGAGGAUGCGAGCGUUAUCCGGAUUUAUUGGGUUUAAAGGGUGCGUAGGUGGCUUUUUAAGUCAGCGGUGAAAACUGGCGGCUCAACCGCAAGAGUGCCGUUGAAACUGGGGAGCUAGAGUAUGAACGAGGUAGGCGGAAUGUGUGGUGUAGCGGUGAAAUGCAUAGAUAUCACGCAGAACUCCGAUAGCGAAGGCAGCUUACCAGGCCAUAACAGACACUGAAGCACGAAAGCGUGGGGAUCGAACAGGAUUAGAAACCCGGGUAGUCC
This 445-nucleotide ribosomal RNA is filed under the name uncultured bacterium. RNAcentral describes it as "partial 16S ribosomal RNA". It matches the Rfam family "Bacterial small subunit ribosomal RNA", at positions 354 to 796 of the family's 1533-position model. The record is from RNAcentral.